This 305-nucleotide ribosomal RNA is filed under the name uncultured bacterium. RNAcentral describes it as "bacterial SSU rRNA". It matches the Rfam family "Bacterial small subunit ribosomal RNA", at positions 333 to 635 of the family's 1533-position model. The record is from RNAcentral.
GUUGGCCUACGGGGCGCAGCAGUGAGGAAUAUUGGUCAAUGGACGAGAGUCUGAACCAGCCAAGUAGCGUGAAGGAUGACUGCCCUAUGGGUUGUAAACUUCUUUUAUAUGGGAAUAAAGUGAGCCACGUGUGGCUUUUUGUAUGUACCAUACGAAUAAGGAUCGGCUAACUCCGCGCCAGCAGCCGCGGUAAUACGGAGGAUCCGAGCGUUAUCCGGAUUUAUUGGGUUUAAAGGGAGCGUAGGCGGCUUAUUAAGUCAGUUGUGAAAGUUUGCGGCUCAACCGUAGAAUUGCAGUUGAUACUG